RNAcentral lists this ribosomal RNA (492 nucleotides) under uncultured bacterium. Its description in RNAcentral is "partial 16S ribosomal RNA". It matches the Rfam family "Bacterial small subunit ribosomal RNA", at positions 29 to 507 of the family's 1533-position model. The record is from RNAcentral.
AGUGAACGCUGGCGGUAGGCCUAACACAUGCAAGUCGAACGGCAGCACAGUAAGAGCUUGCUCUUACGGGUGGCGAGUGGCGGACGGGUGAGGAAUACAUCGGAAUCUACUUUUUCGUGGGGGAUAACGUAGGGAAACUUACGCUAAUACCGCAUACGGCCUACGGGUGAAAGCAGGGGAUCUUCGGACCUUGCGCGAUUGAAUGAGCCGAUGUCGGAUUAGCUAGUUGGCGGGGUAAAGGCCCACCAAGGCGACGAUCCGUAGCUGGUCUGAGAGGAUGAUCAGCCACACUGGAACUGAGACACGGUCCAGACUCCUACGGGAGGCAGCAGUGGGGAAUAUUGGACAAUGGGCGCAAGCCUGAUCCAGCCAUACCGCGUGGGUGAAGAAGGCCUUCGGGUUGUAAAGCCCUUUUGUUGGGAAAGAAAAGCAGCAGGUUAAUACCCCGCUAUUCUGACGGUACCCAAAGAAUAAGCACCGGCUAACUUCGUG